This 494-nucleotide ribosomal RNA is filed under the name uncultured Nanohalarchaeota archaeon. RNAcentral describes it as "SSU rRNA". It matches the Rfam family "Archaeal small subunit ribosomal RNA", at positions 333 to 824 of the family's 1478-position model. Lineage: Archaea; Nanobdellati; Candidatus Nanohalarchaeota. The record is from RNAcentral.
CAGCAGGCGCGAAACCUUUACAAAGCACUAAAUGCGAUAAGGGGACUCCGAGUGUAGUCUUCCCACAAGGAAGGCUGCUUUUCUGCGCUGUAAGGAGGUGCCGGAACAAGGGGUGGGCAACACUGCUGCCAGCCGCCGCGGUAAUAGCAGGGCCCCAAGUGGUAGUCGUUAUUAUUGGGCUUAAAGUGUUCGUAGCCGGAUCUGUAAGUCCGCUGUGAAAUCCACGCGCUUAACGUGUGGGCGUGCAGCGGAGACUGCAGGUCUAGGGACCGGACGGCGUCGAGGCUAUUCCAGGGGUAGGGGUGAAAUCCUAAAAUCCCUGGAGGAGCACCUGUGGCGAAAGCGCUCGACGAGUACGGAUCCGACGGUGAGGAACGAAAGCUAGGGGAGCAAAGCGGAUUAGAUACCCGCGUAGUCCUGGCUGUAAACAUUGUCCGUUUGAUGUCGGCUAACCUCCGAGGUUAGCCGGUGCCGAAGUGAAAACGUAAACGCAC